Molecule: non-coding RNA, 886 nt
Organism: Pelobates cultripes (western spadefoot toad)
Lineage: Eukaryota; Metazoa; Chordata; Amphibia; Anura; Pelobatidae
Source: the annotation of a GenBank genome assembly
GGCAGUAGUCACAGACACAUUACAUCUCAAAGGAUCCUUGGCCAUUAAUGGGUUAAAUAGGGUUGGAGGGCAGUUAAGGUUUUCUGAAAUGAGGCAGCGAAUAGGAACGAUGUGUGAGAACUACAAGUUGGACAGUAACAUUCCAUCACUUGGAGAUAUGAUCAAUGUGUCUUGGGAAGGCCAAUUAGUUUAAUGACCAAUGUUAUACGACAAGGAUGUAAAUGGCAAAGCACACAUGAAUAAUGAAUGAAUCUGAUCAUUUGUAUUUGAGCUGGAGGUGAAUGGUCUAGAUGAUGGAUAGAACGCACCAGAUGAAAAAGGUGUCAGAAUCAAAGAUGAUACAUAUACUGUUCUUGGUCAGUGGGAAAUACAACAAGGUCAUCAAUGGUAAUGGAGAGUUUUGUUAAUGGGGAAAAAGCGGUGGGAGGCAAAAUGAUUAGUUCACUUUUAGAAAGAUUAGGUUUCAGGUAGCGAUGGGACCUCCAAGAGGAAAUGGCCAUAAGGCAGUUUUGUAAUGUGAGAUGGAAGAGGACAAAAGGCCAUGAAGGGGAGGUAAUUUUAGUUACAGUCAAAAGAUGAAUGUUAUUAGAGACCAAAUAAUGUCAUAAGGCUGCCGAGGAAAGAGAUGCAGAGAUAUGAGGGUAGAAGAACUUUCCUGGAUGCCGACAGAUAAUUGAAGGUGAUACAUUGUUGGGGGAGAAUUUUAGCAAAUUUAAGAUACUAUACAGCUAUGGGUGCAUUCAGCAUUGAGCAAUAAGGGUUUUUACAGGGAGAGUUUACUAGAAGCACGAACUUACAUUGAGGCAGAGGUACCCAAGGUGACUGUCUGCCAGGGGUUAGGGGUCAUGCAGGGAAAACAGACCAUGUGUCCGCCAGGUACCUCCAG